Molecule: transfer RNA, 64 nt
Filed under: Marmota monax (woodchuck)
Lineage: Eukaryota; Metazoa; Chordata; Mammalia; Rodentia; Sciuridae
Description: tRNA.Ile
Source: RNAcentral
UGUAGCACAGUGGUAGAGCACUUGCUUGAUAUGCAUGAGACCCUGGGUUCAAUUCCAAUGCUAA